RNAcentral lists this ribosomal RNA (492 nucleotides) under uncultured bacterium. RNAcentral's name for it is "partial 16S ribosomal RNA". It matches the Rfam family "Bacterial small subunit ribosomal RNA", at positions 29 to 507 of the family's 1533-position model. The record is from RNAcentral.
AGUGAACGCUGGCGGUAGGCCUAACACAUGCAAGUCGAACGGCAGCACAGUAAGAGCUUGCUCUUACGGGUGGCGAGUGGCGGACGGGUGAGGAAUACAUCGGAAUCUACUUUUUCGUGGGGGAUAACGUAGGGAAACUUACGCUAAUACCGCAUACGACCUACGGGUGAAAGCAGGGGAUCUUCGGACCUUGCGCGAUUGAAUGAGCCGAUGUCGGAUGAGCUAGUUGGCGGGGUAAAGGCCCACCAAGGCGACGAUCCGUAGCUGGUGUGAGAGGAUGAGCAGCCACAGUGGAACUGAGACACGGUCCAGACUCCGACGGGAGGCAGCAGUGGGGAAUAGUGGAAAAUGGGCGCAAGCCUGAUCCAGCCAUACCGCGUGGGUGAAGAAGGCCUUCGGGUUGUAAAGCCCUUUUGUUGGGAAAGAAAAGCAGCAGGUUAAUACCCCGCUGUUCUGACGGUACCCAAAGAAUAAGCACCGGCUAACUUCGUG